UAGGGAAUCUUCCACAAUGGACGAAAGUCUGAUGGAGCAAUGCCGCGUGAGUGAAGAAGGUUUUCGGAUCGUAAAACUCUGUUGUGAGGGAAGAACAAGUACGAGAGUAACUGCUCGUACCUUGACGGUACCUCAUUAGAAAGCCACGGCUAACUACGUGCCAGCAGCCGCGGUAAUACGUAGGUGGCAAGCGUUGUCCGGAAUUAUUGGGCGUAAAGCGCGCGCAGGCGGUCCCUUAAGUCUGAUGUGAAAUCCCACGGCUCAACCGUGGAAGGUCAUUGGAAACUGGGGGACUUGAGUACAGAAGAGGAAAGCGGAAUUCCAAGUGUAGCGGUGAAAUGCGUAGAGAUUUGGAGGAACACCAGUGGCGAAGGCGGCUUUCUGGUCUGUAACUGACGCUGAGGCGCGAAAGCGUGGGGAGCAAACAG
Molecule: ribosomal RNA, 428 nt
Filed under: uncultured bacterium
Lineage: Bacteria
Description: bacterial SSU rRNA
Rfam family: Bacterial small subunit ribosomal RNA
Source: RNAcentral